GCGAAAUAGACAUAAUGUGCUUCAGGAGGACACGACCAAAACUGCUUUACAACAAGAACUUGAACUGUACAAGCAGAAUUAUCAGCAAGAACUCCAAGCACGUAAACAAUAUCAAGACGAGCUGAAAAAAACAAGGAUUUACCGACCUUGACUGUUUGCCGUCCGCCCCGACCACUGCCUGAUACUGUUUAUGAUUCCCUGUGAUAUCCCUGUCAUUGUCGUUGAUUCUCUACCUGUAUGAUCACGAUCAAUAAAU
Molecule: long non-coding RNA, 256 nt
Organism: Puntigrus tetrazona (Sumatra barb)
Lineage: Eukaryota; Metazoa; Chordata; Actinopteri; Cypriniformes; Cyprinidae
Exons: 4
Source: RefSeq, a predicted model, not a curated record